UGCUGGUUUGUUGACAGAGGAUGAGUACAGAUCUUGUUAGAGAAGAUGAUGUUGAGGAGAAUCCUUCUUCUGUCUCUUCGAGAAUGGACCUAAAACGGAUUCAUCAGUGGCUGACACAAGAAGAGUCCUCCGGUUCAGAACUAUUCAGUAAUAAGAGACAAGUGGUUGAGACUGAUAGUGGUUCCCGGACGAGUUUCUUAACUCCUCCUCUUAUGUCUGCUUGGGACAGCUCACUUGUGCCUAACUGCUUAUUCGAUCCUGCUAAUCCACAGCAUACAUCACAUCUCCUUGGUAGAUAUAUCUCUCCUGUAGACCAGGAGGUGCUUCAUGGUAGCUCAUUUAAUCUUGACACCAUUAGAAAGGUCACAGUCAAUAAUCAAGUGUGUGAAUCUCAAAACAUGCCCCAAUCCAUGCUUCAGUUUUAUGAUAGCACCCCCUCUUUUGGCCAAACCUGCAGCAGUAUUGACAAGAGCUUCACCUUGCCAGGGCCAAACUUGAGUUAUGAUAAAGGAGAUGAAAAUGUCUUCUCAACAUUCCAUCCAUUUGGGAAAGGAGUAGAAAGCUUUGCGUUGAUGGGUCAGUCUCUUCAAAAGGCUGAUUAUAACAUCUUCUCUUAUAACAAGGGACAUGAGAACGUCAUGUCUAAUGCCAAUGUUGUGUUCUCACAAGGCUGUGAGAUGGCAUUUAUGGUUCCUAGCCAAGAAAAAGCAGACAAGAACAGUGAUCAAACUAGUCAAGAGGUUAGAAGACAGACCAUAUCUUUUGGAAAUUAUCAGAAAGAAACCACAAUGGUGUCUCCAGUUCCUGUUAUUACCAGUUUUGAGAACUUCAGCCAUUCUCCUGCAGAGGACAACAUGUCUUCUCAAUAUCCUCCUUACGCCAGUACCUCUAGAGUUGAUACAUUGCUCGCCCCCAAAAGUAAAGACUCAAAGACAGCUAAGAAGGGUUCCACCACAAACACAUUUCCUUCAAAUGUAAAGUCCUUGUUGUCAACAGGAAUGUUUGAUGGGGUUACUGUCAAGUACUACUCCUGGUCACGCGAGGUCAGUCUCUUCUUUUAACCUGGAAUCAACCUUUCACCUUUACCAUGUGCUAAAAACGUUAUCUGGCAGAAAAAUCUCAAAGGAGUUAUAAAGGGGACUGGGUAUCUAUGUGGCUGCAGCGACUGUAACCUUAAUAAAGUAAGCAACGUGAUACCAACACUCUUAGAGUCAUUUACUGGCAUGUCUAUCUAAUACAAAAUCUAAUGCAACAGGUUCUUAAUGCAUAUGAGUUCGAGCAGCAUGCUAACUGCAAGACGAAGCAUCCAAACAAUCACAUAUACUUUGAGAAUGGAAAGACCAUUUAUGGAGUUGUUCAAGAGCUGAAGAAUACGCCUCAGGAGAAGCUGUUCGAUGCUAUUCAAAACGUAACGGGAUCUGAUAUCAACCGUAAAAAUUUCAACACCUGGAAAGGUAAUGUUUCGACAGAGAUAUUUUAAUUCAAUAUAGCAGCUUAAAGCAUGGCAAUACAGAACAAGAUACAAAAGUUAUUGUGUGUUAUAUUGUCUUACAGCAUCGUAUCACGUCGCUAGCCUUGAACUUCAGCGCAUCUAUGGGAAGGAUGCUGUAGUCACUUUGGCAUAGAAGUUAUCAACUGGGAGGCCUUUUUGUUGUAAGAGUAAUCAGUUCUUGUUCUCUGUAACUAUGGCUUUUAAUUAUAAAUCAGAACCUUGAAAUGCUGCUAUGAUGCCUUGUCUGGUGAGUCUAGUUCUUGGCAACUUAAUACAGCGCAUUGCUUGCUCUAGUUCUGGCCAAUUGUACUAUUAAUACUAUCAAAAAUGUUCUUCCUAUUUUUUUUUAUUAAUAGGAGUUUUAGGUAUCAGUUUAUAUGGUUCUUGCAAUAUAUAGAGAGAUAUUGCAACAAAAUCAGCAUCUCAGACAGACUCAUGAGACUGAGUUGCUGCCUUUGGGCUCGUUAACUGGUCACUAUUGAGUGAUAUGUUGUUCUUAUCAGGCUAGUUGGAAUGAUCUGUUCGUCAUUUUUUACCAGUCUUUGUCUUUGCUUUUACCACAUAGUACCAAAUAUAUUCCAAUGACAAUGACUAACACAUGCACUCUCUCCUUUGCUGUCCAUCCAAUAUCAUAGUAUGCCUUGGUCGUCUUUCAAAUAACAUAUAUCCACAAGUUCUGAAGUAGAUUUUUCUUGAAGACUACUACUUGCCCUGAACGACAAUGUGUUUCAAUAAAAUGCUCAAAAGCUCACGAGAUAAGAAAACGCUUGAGAUAAAUAAAUGGCAAAGAGAAUGGAUAAGAAUGUCACACAAGUUCAUCAGAGUUUAUCCGGUUAAUGCAAAAGGAAACACCUUGUCUAUUUCAAGGCGUGUGUUAUGUUAUAAGUACUUCACAUGAGUUGCCAAAAGUAGAUCAAAAAGAAUAAUAAAAAGGGGCUAUAGGUGGUCUAGCUUCUCCCUGAUAUUAAAUUGACAUUAGUGUACAUUUGAGGAUUAGAGCGCUGGUCUGUUUGUGUUAAAGACUCGGUGAAGGCGAGUAAAGGUUGCAACAACAAACUCUGCUUCAUCUCUUCCAACAAAGUCUUACUUGUGUCCAUACCCGCAAGGUAUCCUCCAUGCACAUAUCCACUGAACUUUUCACUUGUGUGUUCUCCUGUGAAUAAUAUCCUUCCAAAUGGAGCCUGAUGAAUCACAAAAACCAAAUCAUAAAUUCCCACAUAAGUGCUAAAAACAACAAAAGGUGCUGUAAAAAUACCUUGACAUUUCGUUGAAGCUGAUUAUCAGAUAUCAUAGGGUAAUUGCUGUAGCUACCGCGCUGAAACCGGUUGUUCCACCAUCUAGGGACAAGAAUAUCAGUUGCGUAAGGAAUAGUGGGACCAAACAUGUCCCUCAGAACACUCAUCGCCUCUUUCAGUGUCUCCUCGUCUGAUUGGGACUCCACGCGCUUUGACUGCUCGUUGGUCAACGUCACGACCAGAAUGUUAGACCCCGGGUACGCAUUUUCCAUGUGCUGAUUUAAAACAGGAGCAACAACAGUUAGAUUUACAGACUGCAAGCUGGAGAGUAGAGAGCAAGCAAACUUGUAAUAAUAUAACAAGCUACAUGGACCAUGCAGCUGGUUAGACACUCGAGAUAAUUUAAAGCAAUGAUGAUAAUAAUCAAAGGGACCCCCCAGGUGAUUAAUAAUAAGAUUAGUAGGGAGUGCAUGUGCCACGUUUCUCACGUAUGUGGACUGAAUAAAAAGAUGCAUUGAGAUUAACAAACUACUGAUAAUAUUUUAAUUUUUUUAAGGUAAUCAACCUGCCAAAAGGUGAAGUAGCCGCGUUGUUCGUGCGCAUAGAUGAAAAACUCUUGGCCAGGACCACAUGGCCAGAAACAAUGAGGGAAUUUGAGGAAGAUCUUGGUGUACACCAUCACAUCACAUUUUUGUAUAGCUUCAGUUUUCCAUUUCUGUCACCAAUAAUAGUACUGGUUAGUAAGAUCACUUGAAUAAAGAUAAAAAGAAAAAUAUUCUGACUUCUGAGACAAAGUUUAACAUGCAUGUUUGUUAAUUGUUUAUGUUAUCUUAAAGGACUCCUUCUUGAAUUAUGUGGAUCAACCAUGCAUAACCAACCCAUUGUAUUUGAUGUAUGGUUUUGAUAAAAAUAAAAAAAAAUGAAUUCUGACUUUCUUUACCUAAUGGCUAACGCAAUUUUAUAUUUCCUAGGUUCACGUACAUUGAAUGAUUAAAAAACCUCCCCCUUUUUGUGUUAUCUUUAGCGUUAAAUAAGCAUAAAAGAUAAGACAAAUAAGUAGUUGAUUAUAAACUAGUAAUAAUAGGAGAAGAGGAGAAAGUAAGCUAACCGGUAAAGGAGGCUGGAAUGAGAUAAGAUUGGAUUGGAGAACACCAAUACUAGCAGACACGAUCACAUAAUUGGCCUCGUAUUCGGAACCAUCCUCUGUUUUCACCACAACACCAUUCCUCGACUGUUGCACCUCCCUAACCACCUGCCAUUAAUUCACCACUAAUAUAAGAUUACUAAUACUACUAUAGCAAUAGGUGCCAAAAACUAAGCCAGCUGGUUUCUGAGAGGCAAUAAAUAAAAACAAUGACCCCACACAACUUGAAAUCAAUUUUCACUACAAAACAAAUGCUGAGACUGAAGAGAAACCUAGCAGCUGUGGUUUAGUUGUCAAACUUAGCAGGAAAAUGCAAAUCAACAACAGCUAAAAGGCAAAAAGGAGCUUUUCCAAAAUAACGUCAUAAUAUACUCCUUUUAACUCAAGUAAAAGAGGUCCAUCAAAACCUCAUCGUUUAACAACAGUCGAAAGAUAUUUUUUGUGCACAGGUGUUGAAGAAGAAAUAGUUUAAAAAAAAUCUACAGUACCUUGUUUAGUUUGAGGCGGUUGUCCAAAAUGUUACCAUCUGAGGUAUAGAGAAAGCCCUCGGCCAUUUUGUAAAGCAAUGAUUCGUAACCUCUUUCAUCAGCAACCAAAUAUUCCCUUUCACCGAAGUCCACGUAAGUCGAUAUUGGCUCAACCUCUGAACAACACGGUAACGAAUACAAUGUCAAGAAAUUGCUAGGCGGUAAUUAUACGUUUUGUUGAUUAGACGGACUUUUUUUUUUUUAAUGUUUAGAUCGAUUUUUCAAAAAUCCGUUAAAAAAAUUAUUUCCUUUAAAUCCGAUUUACCGUGUCAGUACUAUUAGAUGUAAUGAUGAAAAACACUGUUAUAAAACAGACAAAAUAUUAGAUGUAAUGAUUACCUGCCAUCUCGAAAUCAUGCAGGAUGAAGUCAAUAGCGAGUUCUAUUUUGUCUGAUGUUGUCACAUAUAGUUCAAGUAUGAGUCUCGUAUUGUUGAUAGAAGAUUCUUCCAGAGUUAUUUUGAAGGACAACAAUAUGGUUUAAGGAAGCUAAGUAUACAAAUUUAUUGAAAAGAUUGGAAAUAUAUUGAGUUUUAAUAAAUAUAAAUUGAUAAUUUUAGAACCCAGAACCCAAUUAAUAUCUUAAACCAAAACAAUUUUGGAUUCAAACAUGUAACUAAACCUGAACAGAACCCGGCCCAAACUUUUAUAAUAACGGAAUGAGGCUAAAACUCAUGAACCUGAAAUCCGACUGGGACCCCGAUUGUCCAGCCUUGGAUAACCUUCUUGUCCAUUUUAUUUGGUCAUGAGUUUUAUAGAGGCCAUACUGGUGCAGAGCAUAUGACUUCCCUUCUUCAUAUUAUAAAAAGAAUUCAGCCCAGUCUUGUGACCUAUAUUAUAAAACGAAUUGGGCCUAAUAAGAAAUAUGGGCCAUUUGUUUUAUAAUAUGGAAAGCCCGAAUCCCAUACUUCAAGGCUUUGCUUAUUUGUCUUGGCUAAAGCAUCAAUUUCAUGGGUUGGUUUUAACUUUUAAGAGAAGGAUGAUGCGAACUAGCAUCUUGCAGUUCUGGUGAGCAGCGUAGAAACUGGUUAUGAGCCACUUGUAAUCUGAUUGGUGUUUUUGGAAAAGACUCCAUAUCCCAUCUGUACUACUUCCCAUCUUUGAUCAUUAUGUUACAUGAAAAUUGUACAACUUGUAAAUAGACCACUAACAAAAUAAGGAUGGAUGUUAAGUUAAAAUGGUAAAAAUCACUUUAUCCUAAAUGUCCUUGCGACAACCCUAUGGAGAAAGAAAUGAGAUACUGUGUGGGGCCAGUAUCAUAAUUGAUAAGUUGACCCAAUCUGUCAAACAUUUUUCACACAUAUCAUCAUCAUGUUAAAUUUUCUUCAUCUAAUAGUCACACUCACACCAAAUGAUUCCCUACCAAACAAGAAAAAAGAACAAUCGUCAAGUAAUCUGACAAGGGGCAUUACUUGUAAAUUGUAACUCUCUACAUACUCGUAACGACCGGACGAUUCGUGUCCCUUUAGAGUUUUUGAUGAUCCUCUCUCUCUCUCUCUCUCUUGUGUUCACUCUUCCCCUCAACCUUUGGAUUCUCCUCGCGACUUCUCUCUUUUGGAUUCGCCGUUGGAGACUUUAAGAACAGCUCUGCCAUUUCAUUUCUAUAGUUGCAAAAGGUAAAGACUCGAGAUCGUCUCGUGGUGGUUCAUGGUUUUAGGGUUCAAAGUUCCUAAUUUUACUGUUCAUUUGAACCAAAGUUAUCGAUGACGUCAUGCUCACACUCCAAUCUGCAUUUUAUAGAAACCUUUAGUUUUUUUUUUUUCUACUCCUCUUCUUAUUGGUUAUAGACUAUUUCAUUGCGAGUGAGUGUGUGUGUUGUUGAUUAUUUCUCUUGCUGGUUUGUUGACAGAGGAUGAGUACAGAUCUUGUUAGAGAAGAUGAUGUUGAGGAGAAUCCUUCUUCUGUCUCUUCGAGAAUGGACCUAAAACGGAUUCAUCAGUGGCUGACACAAGAAGAGUCCUCCGGUUCAGAACUAUUCAGUAAUAAGAGACAAGUGGUUGAGACUGAUAGUGGUUCCCGGACGAGUUUCUUAACUCC
RNAcentral lists this long non-coding RNA (6433 nucleotides) under Brassica napus (rape). Its description in RNAcentral is "long non-coding RNA (BNAP_LNC012687)". The record is from RNAcentral. Lineage: Eukaryota; Viridiplantae; Streptophyta; Magnoliopsida; Brassicales; Brassicaceae.